This 335-nucleotide unclassified non-coding RNA is filed under the name soil metagenome. RNAcentral's name for it is "partial contains 5.8S ribosomal RNA, internal transcribed spacer 2, and large subunit ribosomal RNA". The stretch from base 1 to 120 matches the Rfam family "5.8S ribosomal RNA", at positions 35 to 154 of the family's 154-position model. The record is from RNAcentral.
GAUGAAGAACGUAGUGAAAUGCGAUAAGUAGUGUGAAUUGCAGAAUUCAGUGAAUCAUCGAAUCUUUGAACGCACAUUGCGCCCCCUGGUAUUCCGGGGGGCAUGCCUGUCCGAGCGUCAUUGCAACCUUCAAGCGCGGCUUGUGUGUUGGGUCUCGUCCCCCGUGGACGGGCCCGAAAGGCAGUGGCGGCGUCCCGACAUGGUGCCCGAGCGUAUGGGAAUCCUCUUCCGCUCGAAUCGGCCCAUGCGGCGCUGGUCGUAACCAAAUUUUUUACCGGUUGACCUCGGAUCAGGUAGGGAUACCCGCUGAACUUAAGCAUAUCAUAAGCGGAGGA